GUGCGGGUGAAAUGGUGUGAAAGGAACAUGAUUUUGGUUCUUAAAUCAAGAGCGCCAUCGAUGUAUCCGAAGCAGGUAGACGUGGAUGGUGAGAGCCCAACACAACUUCAACUGAUGUGCCAAUUAGACUUCCAGAUCAACUGACCUCAAGGAAGGAAGGAAGAAAAGGAAAGAAGAGGAAAGCAGAGAAAGAAAGAGAGUGAGAGAGGAAAGAAGAAAUUACUGCAACAUAUGGGUUGCAUUAGAUUAUUGUUAGCUGUCCUGAGUUGUUAAAUGUCCUGCAAUUCUUGUAUUGUGUUGUUAUUCCUACUUCUGAGACUCUGAGAUAGAGACCUACACCUAAACAAUUAUCUGUUUAUAAACUUUCAUAGAG
This is a long non-coding RNA of Hemicordylus capensis (graceful crag lizard), 373 nucleotides long. RefSeq lists it as uncharacterized. Lineage: Eukaryota; Metazoa; Chordata; Lepidosauria; Squamata; Cordylidae. The transcript is spliced from 3 exons. The record is from RefSeq and is a predicted model, not a curated record.